This 8408-nucleotide long non-coding RNA is filed under the name Homo sapiens (human). Its description in RNAcentral is "HSALNT0272262". The record is from RNAcentral. Lineage: Eukaryota; Metazoa; Chordata; Mammalia; Primates; Hominidae.
AAAAGAUUCAUCCUAAAGUUCGAAUCCCUCUAACAAACUUCCACAACAUGUGUCCCUUUGCUUGGCAUUAUGUAAACACUGGGAAUAUUUACUGAAUGGAAACCAAACCACAAAGUUCUGCAGCCAACUUCAAAAAGAAAUUAACUCACAAAGGCCUCAGUAUACAUGGUUUUGCACAUAAUUUCUUUUGAGUAACUCAUGCUCCCGUUCACACCUCACUGCAGUAACUUCACGUGUUUCACUGAUGCAACAAAUGCAUGCAUGUAGCAAAACAAAACAUGAUACAUUUCUUUCAAUGGGGGCAGGUCACUUUUAAUAUGAGAAAUAUAUUUUGGAAUUAUUUGCUUUGUUGUUUUAUCAAAGUUGAAAUGAAAAGACAUUAAGCAAUAUCUAUAUCUUAAUAUUGUUUUUUUGAGUUGGGGUUUCACACUGUCACCCAGGCUGGAGUGCAGUGUUGUGACCACAGCUCACUGAAGCCUCAAACUCCUAGGCUCAAAUAAUCUUCCCACCUCAGCCUCCUGAGUAGCUGAGACUAUAGGCACAUGCCACUACACCAAGCUAAUUUUCUUAUUUUUAUUUUGCAAAGGCAAGGUCCCGCUUUGAUGUCCAGGCUGGGUGCCAAUCAAUCCUGACUUCAAGUGAUCCCACUGCUUUGGUCUCCCAAAGUGCUGGGAUUACAGACAUGAACCACCAUGCCCAGCUAUCCUGAGCAUAAUGAAAGGAAUGUGAUGCGAAUAUGCCCCCAUGAAUAACGCAAACUUGAAAAUUGCUGUGAACUCAAAACAUUUUUGAGGACAUUUCUUCCAAUACUUCCUUUUGUAUCGAAAGAGGGAAAGAGAAAGAGAGAAAGAACAUUUGAAAACUUCAGAAAGUGGAAACUGACAGCCACCUCUCUACAGAAAGGUAAAACUGGUGGCAUUCCUGACUGAAUACCCUUCACUCACAGGAGGCAGUGUGGAACAGUGGGAAUGAGGAGUGCUAUGGGACUUUGUAUAUCUGGUCUGGAAGCCUGUUUCUGGUACGUACAGCUAGGGUUUAUGGACAUUGGAGGUGGAAGGGGAUGGAUGAGACUCUAAAGAGGUCGCGCUGUAAGAUCUUUGUGUUAUCUUGAUUGGAGUGGUCGUCAUACCAAUCUAACAGUGAUAAAAUGAAAAUAUACAUACAUGGUAUUAAUGUCAACAUUCUGUUUUUUAUUGUAUAGAGUUCUGUAAGAUGUAACCUUUGGAAGAAACUUGAUGUAAGUUACAUGGGACUUCUCUGUACUAUCUUCCCAACUUCUAAUGAAUCUGUAAUUAUUUCAAAACUAAAAAGGUAAAAGUAGUAUUUAUUGCAAAGAGCCAGUAUUUUAAUUUAUUGUGAAUGAAUACUAUGGAAAAAUAUGAUGAAAAUAAAUUACUAGAAAACUAAAAUUAAACAAAGAUACAUAAACUGCAAAACCUUUUUGUAGAAUCAGGAAUAUCUCUCCAUUUUUAUACAUAUAAUCAGAACAAAUAUGGUAUAUGAAGAAAAUAAUUUCCAAAAGACUAUAUAUUUUUAUUAAGAGUAUACACAUAGCCAUUAAUAUUGAGAAUUGCUAAUAUACUAUUUGUCUUUCUACAAUCUCAGCUAAACAAAAUGUAUAAGUGAAAUGUGAUUUCAUUCAAUGAAAACUUAUAUGCACACUUUGAGAAUACUUUGUAUAAACACAUUUAAAGAUUUUGAUAUGAAUAAAUGCAAACAGUUCAUUUCUUCCGUUAACAUGUCUAGGCUACAUUUUAUUCACAACGUUCAUUUACUCAUAAUUAUCUGCACUAUUUCUAGGUUCCUGUUUUAGUGACACUCAUUGUGCCCAAAACAAUCUGUGGAGCUGUAUUGUUAGAAACAGAGCAAGAGCCUUUAAAGUAAUUUCAUCUAGCUCACCAUGUAUGUUUUUAACUGAUAUCCAAAAAUGAAGUAAGUGAUGAUGUGCUUUCAAAACACAACUUCAGUGAUUCCACCAGUAGCUAGUUCUAUAAAUUUAUCCUUAUUAUUAAAUUUGAAUUAUCUUUCAAUGAGAAUGAUUUUCAGAUCCAUGCAUUUCUUAUGUGUGACACAUUUUUGGUAAAAAAAAUAAAAUUCCAAACCCUUGAUUAAAUGUUUGGUGAUAACCUUUUGCAGGUGUUCAAUAACAACAUUAACACCUACCUCACUGGUAAUUGUUAUUAGCUUGCCAUAAAACCAGAUUCCAUAAAUUCUCAAAGUUUCAUUUUCUGUCAUUGAAAAACUUGUUUUAUUUCUACAAUGCCUAAAAAUAUUAAUAUCAUUAAAUACAUACUAUAUUCCAUAUAUAAACUGUAAAACUAGAUUCCAUAAAUUCUCAAAGUUUCAUUUUCUGUCAUUGAAAAACUUGUUCUAUUUCUACAAUACCUAAAAAUAUUAAUAUCAUUAAAUACAUAAAAAAUAUCAGAUAAACAAGUAACCCUGGCUAUCACUGAACAGCUUUAAAUUGGUAGACCAAACUGGUUUCUUAAGAAGUGAAACAUUAAAAGUUUAUUCAGUAAUUGAAGUGCUUUCCACAGAACUAUUGCUCUCCAUGAACUGCAUGGCUCUUUAUGAAAUAAUUUGAGUUCGUAAUCAGCUUCCAUAUUAUUACUUGAUAUGUAAAAUAAUCUUGAAUUUAAUGUAUUGACAUUUACUUAACUCACAAAAUUUUACCAUGCCAUCAGUGACUUUUUAAAGCUGACAUUUAAUGCCAUGCAAGAUGUUUUUGAUAAAGAAAACUGUGUUGAUUUGCAUUUUAACAAAAGCACCAUAUCUGGGUAACCAUUCAAGAAUGUUUUCUGUAAUAGAUAUUAUGCCACAGAAACAUGCAUGUGAAACGUAAUCUCUAAACUACACCAGUUGACAGUUCAUAUCAUAGGGUUCAGAUCUAGUCAGUUUACAUGAGCGAUGAAGAAAAAAGUUCCAUAAUAUCAAUAUAAUGUUGAAAAUGGACUACACUAAAAGAGUUGCCAUGUUAGCAGUAUCAGUGCAUUAGUCUAAUCACAAUGAAAAACACUUUACUAGUUUUACUUGUUCAGUGAGUUGGUCUUCUAGAUCAUCACUCAGCUCCUGAGUAUACAGUGUUACUGCAAAGUGGUAUUUGAUUGACUUUGUAAUACAGAUUCACAUUGCAUUUCCAAACAAGUAUCUUUGAUACCAUACUUCACUGUCUCAGCAAUUGUAUACAUUUUCUUUAGUUAGCAACCCAAAGUGCUGUUUUACAAUAAGACACAUAGCAUCAAUAUUCAUAUGUGAAAUGUUGAGCAUCUGCUUCUGUAGGCUUUUCAAUUAAAUACUCUUAUACAGAGAAUGUGGUUUUGAACACUUUUAUUUAUAUCUUUUAUGUAAAUACCACAUAGGUGUUCAUUGUUUCAUCCCUUCACUAUGCAAUGCAACUCCACAAAUGAGGCACCAUAGUUUUAGCAUAGUAUCAUCAAUUAUGGUUAGAAAACUGAUCUCAAUGUACUAGGAUACGUACUUCUAAGUAAAACAAGUAUGAACUCUUUUUGGUCUUUAGCUUUUCCCUACUGUUUUUCUUCACCAUUAUUUAACCUAAAAUGUCUGUAGCUGAGAAUCUAUGCCUUCUCGUAACAAGCCCAGAGAAACUUAUUUCUCUCCGUGUUAAUUGGCAUUAAACUUAAAUAAUGUAAAUUGUAUUUUCUUAGUAUAACUAAUAAUGUUACAUUAUAAUUUGAAAAACAGGCAUCAUUAAAAAGUAAAGUGCACCUAGAAAUUUUUUUAAGCAUACAAAGGCUUACAUUUUCUCAAAAUUUGACACACACUUGGGUUAUAGUGCACAAACUAACCUUAAAGUGUCAUUUGUUGCUAUGUGAUUCUGCUACAUAUGACUAGCAUACAGCUUAGAUCAUAUGUGAUCCACAACAAUUAACUGUACUAUACCCUGGUCAGAAAUAAUCCCAUUGAUCAAAAACCUUUAUGGCCUGGCAAUGUGAAAUUGCUGCAGAUAUUUUGAAAUGCUUACUCUGAAUGCUUAUAUUUAUCUUGCCUUAGAGCUCUCCACCAAUGCCAGUGCAGGAGAUCAUGCUCUGAGCAUCCAAGGUCUAGAGGGCGGAGCAAACAUUUAAAAAAUGCUGCAAACAUGUCUAGCUACAUAUUAUGAUAUCAGUAUAAAGGAAACAUACAGGGUGAUGGGAGCAAAUAUUAUAGGGAUCCUGUUUACAUUAAAGGGUCAGGAAAAGUCCUAAGGAAAGAUGAAUGGGUGAGGGCAGCCUUCUAGGCAGAAAAUGAGGAGACAUCAAAAUGCAUGUGCUCUAGGAAGGGAAAGAAGCCUAGAGUUGCUCUAGGUUGUGAGACAGAGGAAAGGCCCAGGAAAUGAACAAGAAGAAAAAGAAGAGCCCAGGCACUGUGUACCAUAAUAAUGAGGCUAGAUUUUUCCUAAAGGUUGAGAAAUGACAUUAAACAAAACAUAGCAGGUUGUGGUUGUGAGGGAAGAUAAUCAGAUUUGACCCACGUGGGACUGAUUGACGAGAACUCUGUUAGAAGGAGCCUGGGGCCCAGUGUUCCACUGAUUGUAGAGCGUAGUGGGUGGGAAAGAGACCAAACAGGAAGCCCUGUUUUUGACUUUUAUUUUAAGUUCAGGGGUAUACGUGCAGGUGUGUUACAUAGGUAAACUUGUGUCAUGGGGAUUGUUUUACCAACUAUUUCAUCACCCAGAUAUUAAGCCUAGUACCCAUUAGUAAUUUUUCCUGAUCUUCUCCCUCAUCCCACCCUCUACCUUGAAGUAGGCCCCUCAGUGUGUGUAGCUCCCCUGUGUGGGUCCAUGUGUUCUCAUCAUUUAGCUCCCACUUAUAAGGUAACAUGUGGUAUCUGGUUUUCUCUUUCUGCAUUAGUUUGCUAAGGAUAAUGACCUCCAGCUCCAUCCAUGUCCCUGCGAAGGAAAUGAUCUUUUUCUGCUUUAUGGCUUUAUAGUAUUCCAUGGUGUAUAUGUACCACAUUUUCUUUGUCCAGUCUAUCAUUGAUGGACAUCUAGGUUGAUUCCAUGUCUUUGUUAUUAUUAAUAGUGCUGCAAUGAACAUACACAUCCAUGUGUCUUUAUAAUAGAACAACUUACAGUCCUUUGGGUAUAUACCCAGUCAUAAGAUUGUUGAGUCUAACGGUAGUUCUGUCUUUAGGUCUUUCAAGAAUCACUGCACUGUCUUCCACAAUGUGUGAAUUUAUACUUCCAGCAACAGUGUAUAAGCAAACGUUCCUUUUUUAUUCCACACCCUUGCUAGCAUCUGUUUUUUUGUUUGUUUGUUUCUGAGACCGAGUGUUGCUCUGUCACUCAGGCUGGAGUGCAGUGGCGUGGUCUUGGCUCACUGCAGCCUCUGCCUCCUGGGUUUCAGCAAUUCUCCUGCCUCAGCCUCCCAAGUAGCUGGGAUUACAGGUGCAUGCCACCACGCCCAGCUAAUUUUUGUAUUUUUAGUAGAGACAGGGUUUCACCAUGUUGGCCAGGCUGGUCUCGAAUUCCUGACCUCAGGUGAUCCACCCGCCUUGGUCUACCCAAAUGCUAGGAUUAUAGGCAUGAGCCACCGCGCUCCGCCUUGACUUUUUAAUAAUAGCCAUCUGACUGGUGUGAAAAGGUAUCUCAUUGUAGUUCUGAUUUGCAUUUCUCUAAUGAUCAGUGAUGUUGAGAUUUCUUUUUCAUGUGAUUGUUGGUUGCAUGUAUACCUUCUUUGGUUCUUUUGGUUUUAUAUGAAUUUUGAAAUAAAUUUUGGACAAUUUGUUUAUACUGUGUGUGUGUCCAGUUGUGAUUGGAAUAUAUUGUAGAAACUCAAGUAAAUAUCUUCUAAUGACUCAAUGAAUUGAUUUAUUUGGGAUGCUUUAUAAAAAGUAUAACUUUUUCCUAAUGCAGAAUGUCCUAGUAGAAAUAAAAAAAUACAGUAUAUCAAUAAUUCCUAGCAUUCCCAAGGAAGGAAACAAGUAAUCGUAUUAAGUAAAAUGAUAAAAUAAUACAAGUCUUAAUGUUGAUGCCCAACAUCAAGCCAUUUUUAAGAAUCACAAGCAGUGCAGCAGUAUUAUUGCUGAUGCUUUAAAGCUGAGCCAUAUUUUCUUAGAUAUUUAUAGGAUGGCUUUGUAGGUAAAAUACAGGAGUAAAUACCUGUGCUAGGUUGUUUUAUCGUGCAGUUAUUCAUUCUUCCUUUCCUGUAAGAAAAUUAUACAUUGUUGCUCAUUGACAUCAGGCUUAAGGGGCCCCUUAUGGACAGAAUAUAUAUUCUCUGCUCCAUUGAUGUUUGACCUGACUAUGUGAUGUGCUUUAGUCAAUGGAAUAAAUGUAGGCACGAUGUAUACUGUUUUUGAGAAGAAACUUUAAAAGGUACUAAUGAAAUUUCUUUGCCUGUUUGUUUCUGCCUUCUGUAUGGGUCCUGGAAUAAAAAUAUAUGGAUGAGGAUUGCAGCUGACUUCAGCCUACAUGCAGUUUGAAUAUGAAACAGAUUCCAUACCCCUUCAGGAGGCACACGUUAUCUUCUGUGGCCUGACUCCUACCAUAUCAGUGUACUGUCACCCAGAAAACUGUUAUAGAAGAUGUCCGAGCAUAUGGAAAAGAACCUUGAACAUGGAACAAGGAGACACGGGUUCAGCCUCUGGGCAAAUAAUUGAACUGGCACAACAAAGAAAAAGAUGUCGGAAAUUGUUCAUCAAAAAACUGAGUGCUUAUCUAUGAGUAUGAAGAUUUCAUUAAUUAAUCUUAUAUGUUAUACUUUUUCACAUUACUUGAAUAUUGUUCAUAAUUGCAUACUAUCUUUAUAAUAUAAUAAAAUAUUUUCAUUUUCAAAUAUUUAACAAUUUAAACAAAUGUAAGCAAAAUAUUAAAAAUAACUUGACAUUAGUACGUGGAAUUGGGGCAAUUGCAUAAGUUUUCUCAUUCAAACAUUCAUAUAAGUACUUGAAAUCAUGAAUACAAGCAUAUUAACACUAGAGAUUUUAGAAUUCCUCCAUUAUUUCCCUAGUUUUCUAGCUAUGAUUUGAUCAAACUGUGUUUAUAAGUUCCUUUAUAUUAAAUUUAGGUGGUAAGCUAGAUUUAAAUCUUUUUGGAGAAAAAUUGUUAUUUGAUAUUAAAUGUAAUUAUUUAUUUCACUGGAAAUAUAAAAUAUAUAGCCUUCCAAGUAACAAAGGGUAAUGAAUUUAUUGUUUAAAGAGAAACGUAAAUACAGAAAAUAAAAGCUGGCCGGGUGCGGUGGCUCAUGCCUAUAAUCCCAGCACUUUCGGAGGUCGAGGCAGGAGGAUCACGAGGUCAGGAGAUAGAGACCAUCCUGGCUAAUACAGUGAAACCCUGUCUGUCUUUACUAAAACUACAAAAAAAAAAAAAAAUUAGCCACGCAUGGUGGCACGCACCUGUAGUCCCAGCUACUUGGGAGGCUGAGGCGGAGGUUGCAAUGAGCCGAGAUCACGCCACUGUACUCCAGCCUAUGUGACAGAGUGAGACUCCAUCUCAAAAAAAUAAAAUAAAAUAAAUUAAAAUAAAAUAAAUUAAAAAUAAAAGCUUAUGCUCUUUACUUUCUACAUACCAUUCUAUUUUCUUUAUUUUCAUAUUUCUAAUUUAUGGCACUUUGAGCUACAAAAUACAUUUUAAAACAUCUUUCAAAUGCCAUAAAUAUUUUUCAAUUACUGUUUAGUGAAGGCUUCAGUAACUUGUUCCUUUCUAUUUAUUUUGCGUAGAACCCUAGCUGAGAGGUUUGCAAACAAGACAAAACUUCAAUGUAAAUUUUUAAUUUGUUAUUUUGGAACAAAAAAUGGCAGCUGAUAAGCUUUUUCAAGUAGGCAUAUUCUCUUUAACAAUUUCAAAUAAAAAUCAAUUCAUGUAUAGCCUUCAAGGACAUAUGAUUUUACAAAGUAAAUCUGACGACUGUUUGUAGAAUUAUUCAAUAAAGAAAUAAUUGCUUAUUUCUGGAUAAAGCCUCUAUUGACCAAUAUUAAUUUAUUCUCAACUACCAGACACCUAGUUCCAAACCUAGAAUAAAGCUAUUCUGUCGGCUCAGAGAUAGCCUAAGCCUGCCUUUUCCUUGCCUACAAAAUUAGAUUCAAAAUUUUUACCAUAAGCAUUCCACUCCCUCCAUGAUCUUAUGCCAAUUUACAUUAGUUUGCCCCUAGAUCAAACAAACAAUCCCUUUCUUCCUCCUUCCCCCAACAGAUCAACUGCCCUACUUGCCCACGUCUUCCUCCUGCGAUGAACUCAGGCACUGGUACGCAGUAUAGACAUGGUACAGAGGAUUGUCUCAGAGAGGUUGUGCUGUUCUUUUCCCUACUUCACCCUCCCGAGUUGUGCCAUCUUGGUCAUGUUGCUUAACUUACCUGUUUCAGUUUUUCCAACUGUAAAAUAUGGAUGAUAAACUUGCCUAUCUAUCUCAUGGAGCUGUCAUGGAAAUAUAAUGCAAAGCAUUUCACUGUCUCAAUUUUGUUAUUUGAAA